RNAcentral lists this ribosomal RNA (390 nucleotides) under gamma proteobacterium SCGC AAA023-K15. Its description in RNAcentral is "bacterial SSU rRNA". It matches the Rfam family "Bacterial small subunit ribosomal RNA", at positions 369 to 751 of the family's 1533-position model. Lineage: Bacteria; Pseudomonadati; Pseudomonadota; Gammaproteobacteria. The record is from RNAcentral.
CAAUGGGCGCAAGCCUGAUCCAGCCAUGCCGCGUGUGUGAAGAAGGCCUUCGGGUUGUAAAGCACUUUCGNUGGGGAGGAAGGCCAGUNGGUUAAUACCCGGUUGGNUUGACGUUACCCACAGAAUAAGCACCGGCUAACUUCGUGCCAGCAGCCGCGGUAAUACGAAGGGUGCAAGCGUUACUCGGAAUUACUGGGCGUAAAGCGUGCGUAGGUGGUCUGUUAAGUCGGAUGUGAAAUCCCCGGGCUCAACCUGGGAACUGCAUUCGAAACUGGCGGGCUAGAGUNUGGUAGAGGGUGGUGGAAUUCCNGGUGUAGCGGUGAAAUGCGUAGAGAUCAGGAGGAACACCCNUGGCGAAGGCGGCCCCCUGGACCAACACUGACACUGAGG